UACAGAGGUCUCAAGCGUUGUUCGGAUUCAUUGGGCGUAAAGAGCUCGUAGGCGGCUUGGCAAGUCGGGUGUGAAAACUCCAGGCUCAACCUGGAGACGCCACCCGAUACUGCCAUGGCUAGAGUCCGGUAGGGGACCACGGAAUUCCUGGUGUAGCGGUGAAAUGCGCAGAUAUCAGGAGGAACACCGGUGGCGAAGGCGGUGGUCUGGGCCGGAACUGACGCUGAGGAGCGAAAGCGUGGGGAGCGAACAGG
This 254-nucleotide ribosomal RNA is filed under the name uncultured bacterium. RNAcentral's name for it is "partial 16S ribosomal RNA". It matches the Rfam family "Bacterial small subunit ribosomal RNA", at positions 524 to 776 of the family's 1533-position model. The record is from RNAcentral.